GAUGAACGCUGGCGGCGUGCCUAAUACAUGCAAGUCGAGCGAACAGAUGAGGAGCUUGCUCCUCUGACGUUAGCGGCGGACGGGUGAGUAACACGUGGAUAACCUACCUAUAAGACUGGGAUAACUUCGGGAAACCGGAGCUAAUACCGGAUAAUAUAUUGAACCGCAUGGUUCAAUAGUGAAAGACGGUUUUGCUGUCACUUAUAGAUGGAUCCGCGCCGCAUUAGCUAGUUGGUAAGGUAACGGCUUACCAAGGCAACGAUGCGUAGCCGACCUGAGAGGGUGAUCGGCCACACUGGAACUGAGACACGGUCCAGUCUCCUACGGGAGGCAGCAGUAGGGAAUCUUCCGCAAUGGGCGAAAGCCUGACGGAGCAACGCCGCGUGAGUGAUGAAGGUCUUCGGAUCGUAAAACUCUGUUAUUAGGGAAGAACAAAUGUGUAAGUAACUAUGCACGUCUUGACGGUACCUAAUCAGAAAGCCACGGCUAACUACGUG
This 497-nucleotide ribosomal RNA is filed under the name uncultured bacterium. Its description in RNAcentral is "partial 16S ribosomal RNA". It matches the Rfam family "Bacterial small subunit ribosomal RNA", at positions 28 to 507 of the family's 1533-position model. The record is from RNAcentral.